GGCCACUGCUAUUGGGAUCCGACUAAGCCAUGCGAGUCGAGAGGGUUCGGCCCUCGGCAGACUGCUCAGUAACACGUGGAUAACCUAACCUUAGGUGGAAGAUAACCUCGGGAAACUGAGAAUAAUAUUCCAUAGAUCUAGGAUGCUGGAAUGCAUCUAGAUUGAAAGUUCCGACGCCUAAGGAUGGGUCUGCGGACUAUCAGGUUGUAGUCAGGGUAAAGACCUGACUAGCCUACGACGGAUAUGGGUUGUGAGAGCAAUAGCCCAGAGACGAUAUCUGAGACACGAUAUCGGGCCCUACGGGGCGCAGCAGGCGCGAAAUCUUCACAAUGUGCGAAAGCACGAUGAGGGGAUCCCAAGUGCUGGCACGUAAGUGUCAGCUGUUUCUUAGUCUAAAAAACUGAGAGAGUAAGGGCUGGGUAAGACGGGUGCCAGCCGCCGCGGUAAUACCUGCAGCUCAAGUGGUGGCCGCUAUUAUUGGGCCUAAAACGUCCGUAGCCUGUUUAGUAAAUGCUUGGGUAAAUUGUGUAGCUUAACUAUACGAAUACCGGGUAGACUGCUAAACUUGGGACCGGGAGAGGCUAGAGGUACUCCUGGGGUAGAGGUGAAAUUCUGUAAUCCUAGGGGGACCACCAGUGGCGAAGGCGUCUAGCUAGAACGGGUCUGACGGUGAGGGACGAAGCCCUGGGGCGCAAACCGGAUUAGAUACCCGGGUAGUCCAGGGUGUAAACGCUGCUUGCUUGAUGUUAGUUGGGCUCCGAGCCCAACUAGUGUCGGAGAGAAGUUGUUAAGCAAGCUGCCUGGGAAGUACGGUCGCAAGACUGAAAC
RNAcentral lists this ribosomal RNA (828 nucleotides) under uncultured archaeon. RNAcentral describes it as "bacterial SSU rRNA". It matches the Rfam family "Archaeal small subunit ribosomal RNA", at positions 22 to 855 of the family's 1478-position model. The record is from RNAcentral.